UACGUAGGCGGCCAUAUAAGUCAGAAGUGAAAGGCUACGGCUUAACCGUAGUAAGCUUUUGAAACUGUAUGGCUUGAGUGCAGGAGAGGAAAGCGGAAUUCCUAGUGUAGCGGUGAAAUGCGUAGAUAUUAGGAAGAACACCAGUAGCGAAGGCGGCUUUCUGGACUGAAACUGACGCUGAGAUACGAAAGCGUGGGGAGCGAACAGGAUUAGAUACCCUGGUAGUCC
Molecule: ribosomal RNA, 228 nt
Filed under: uncultured bacterium
Lineage: Bacteria
Description: partial 16S ribosomal RNA
Rfam family: Bacterial small subunit ribosomal RNA
Source: RNAcentral